AGUCAAGUAAUUAAGUGCAUGUGGUGGAUGCCUUGGCAGUCAGAGGCGAUGAAAGACGUGAUAGCCUGCGAAAAGCUCCGGGGAGGCGGCAAAUAUCCUUUGAUCCGGAGAUGUCUGAAUGGGGGAACCCACCUACUUUAAGGUAGGUAUUGCAACAUGAAUACAUAGUGUUGCAAGGCGAACGAGGGGAAGUGAAACAUCUCAGUACCCUUAGGAAAAGAAAUCAAUUGAGAUUCCCUCAGUAGCGGCGAGCGAACGGGGAUCAGCCCAUUAAGUUAUGUGUGUUUUAGUGGAACGCUCUGGGAAGUGCGAACGUAGAGGGUGAUAUUCCCGUACACGAAAGGGCACACAUAAUGAUGACGAGUAGGGCGAGGCACGUGAAACCUUGUCUGAAUAUGGGGGGACCAUCCUCCAAGGCUAAAUACUCCUGACUGACCGAUAGUGAACCAGUACCGUGAGGGAAAGGCGAAAAGAACCCCUGUGAGGGGAGUGAAAUAGAUCCUGAAACCGCAUGCAUACAAGCAGUGGGAGCACCUUCGUGGUGUGACUGCGUACCUUUUGUAUAAUGGGUCAGCGACUUAUAUUCAGUAGAGGUUAACCGUAUAGGGGAGCCGUAGAGAAAUCGAGUCUUAAUAGGGCGUUUAGUUGCUGGGUAUAGACCCGAAACCAGGCGAUCUAUCCAUGAGCAGGUUGAAGGUUGGGUAACACUAACUGGAGGACCGAACCCACUGUCGUUGAAAAGCCAGGGGAUGACUUGUGGAUAGGGGUGAAAGGCUAAUCAAGCCUGGUGAUAGCUGGUUCUCCCCGAAAGCUAUUUAGGUAGCGCCUCGGACGAAUACCAUAGGGGGUAGAGCACUGUUUCGGCUAGGGGGUCAUCCCGACUUACCAAACCGAUGCAAACUCCGAAUACCUAUGAGUACUAUCCGGGAGACAGACUGCGGGUGCUAACGUCCGUAGUCAAGAGGAAAACAAUCCAGACCGCCAGCUAAGGCCCCAAAAUCAUAGUUAAGUGGGAAACGAUGUGGGAAGGCAUAGACAGCUAGGAGGUUGGCUUAGAAGCAGCCACCCUUUAAAGAAAGCGUAAUAGCUCACUAGUCGAGUCGGCCUGCGCGGAAGAUGUAACGGGGCUAAAACUAUGUGCCGAAGCUGCGGAUGUAUACUUUGUAUACGUGGUAGGGGAGCGUUCUGUAAGCCGAUGAAGGUGUGUUGAGAAGCAUGCUGGAGGUAUCAGAAGUGCGAAUGCUGACGUGAGUAACGACAAAACGGGUGAAAAACCCGUUCGCCGAAAGACCAAGGGUUCCAGUCCAACGUUAAUCGGGGCUGGGUGAGUCGACCCCUAAGGCGAGGCCGAAAGGCGUAGUCGAUGGGAAAAUGGUUAAUAUUCCAUUACUUCUGUGUAAUGCGAUGAGAGGACGGAGAAGGCUAAAUCAGCCUGGCGUUGGUUGUCCAGGUGAAAGGAUGUAGGCAUGUAUCUUAGGCAAAUCCGGGGUACUCUAUGCUGAGAUCUGAUAGCAAGCUGUACUUGUACAGCGAAGUGGUUGAUGCCAUGCUUCCAGGAAAAGUCUCUAAGCUUCAGUUACACAGGAAUCGUACCCGAAACCGACACAGGUGGUCAGGUCGAGUAGACCAAGGCGCUUGAGAGAACUCUGCUGAAGGAACUAGGCAAAAUGGUACCGUAACUUCGGGAGAAGGUACGCUGUUGUUGGUGAUGGAACUCGCUUCCUGAGCUGACGACAGCCGCAGAAACCAGGCCGCUGCAACUGUUUAUUAAAAACAUAGCACUCUGCAAACACGAAAGUGGACGUAUAGGGUGUGAUGCCUGCCCGGUGCUGGAAGGUUAAUUGAUGGGGUUAGCGUAAGCGAAGCUCUUGAUCGAAGCCCCAGUAAACGGCGGCCGUAACUAUAACGGUCCUAAGGUAGCGAAAUUCCUUGUCGGGUAAGUUCCGACCUGCACGAAUGGCAUAAUGAUGGCGGCGCUGUCUCCAGCAGAGGCUCAGUGAAAUCGAAAUCGCUGUGAAGAUGCAGUGUACCCGCGGCUAGACGGAAAGACCCCGUGAACCUUUACUGCAGCUUGACACUGAACUUUGACCUUACUUGUGUAGGAUAGGUGGGAGGCUUUGAAGCUGGAACGCUAGUUCCAGUGGAGCCGUCCUUGAAAUACCACCCUGGUAAUGUUGAGGUUCUAACUCUGUCCCGUGAUCCGGGACGAGGACCGUGUCUGGUGGGUAGUUUGACUGGGGCGGUCUCCUCCUAAAGAGUAACGGAGGAGUACGAAGGUGCGCUCAGCGUGGUCGGAAAUCACGCGUAGAGUAUAAAGGCAAAAGCGCGCUUAACUGCGAGACCCACAAGUCGAGCAGGUACGAAAGUAGGUCUUAGUGAUCCGGUGGUUCUGUAUGGAAGGGCCAUCGCUCAACGGAUAAAAGGUACUCUGGGGAUAACAGGCUGAUACCGCCCAAGAGUUCAUAUCGACGGCGGUGUUUGGCACCUCGAUGUCGGCUCAUCUCAUCCUGGGGCUGAAGCAGGUCCCAAGGGUAUGGCUGUUCGCCAUUUAAAGAGGUACGCGAGCUGGGUUUAGAACGUCGUGAGACAGUUCGGUCCCUAUCUACCGUGGGCGCUGGAAAUUUGAGAGGAUCUGCUCCUAGUACGAGAGGACCAGAGUGGACGAACCUCUGGUGUACCGGUUGUGACGCCAGUCGCAUCGCCGGGUAGCUAUGUUCGGAAGGGAUAACCGCUGAAAGCAUCUAAGCGGGAAGCCUACCUCAAGAUAAGAUUUCCCUAGGACUUUAUGUCCUCUAAAGAGCCGUUCGAGACUAGGACGUUGAUAGGUUGGAUGUGGAAGCAUAGUGAUAUGUGAAGCUGACCAAUACUAAUUGCUCGUGAGGCUUGACUAU
RNAcentral lists this ribosomal RNA (2891 nucleotides) under Acinetobacter baumannii. Its description in RNAcentral is "23S ribosomal RNA". It matches the Rfam family "Bacterial large subunit ribosomal RNA". The record is from RNAcentral. Lineage: Bacteria; Pseudomonadati; Pseudomonadota; Gammaproteobacteria; Moraxellales; Moraxellaceae.